This 245-nucleotide ribosomal RNA is filed under the name uncultured bacterium. RNAcentral describes it as "partial 16S ribosomal RNA". It matches the Rfam family "Bacterial small subunit ribosomal RNA", at positions 524 to 768 of the family's 1533-position model. The record is from RNAcentral.
UACAGAGGUGUCGAGCGUUGUCCGGAAUUACUGGGCGUAAAGGGCGUGUAGGUGGGCGGAUAAGUCGAAUGUGAAAUCACCGGGCUUAACCCGGUAACUGCAUCCGAAACUAUUCGUCUUGAGUGCAGAAGAGGAGAGUGGAAUUCCCAGUGUAGCGGUGAAAUGCGUAGAUAUUGGGAGGAACACCAGUGGCGAAGGCGGCUCUCUGGUCUGCAACUGACACUGAAACGCGAAAGCUAGGGGAG